RNAcentral lists this long non-coding RNA (7975 nucleotides) under Brassica rapa (field mustard). RNAcentral's name for it is "long non-coding RNA (BRAP_LNC006890)". The record is from RNAcentral. Lineage: Eukaryota; Viridiplantae; Streptophyta; Magnoliopsida; Brassicales; Brassicaceae.
AAACAUAAUAAUUGUAUCUUAAAACACUUCAAAACACUUAUAGACCAUGAUUAAAAAUGGGUAAAAUAUAUGGUCUAUCAACUCCCCCAGACUUACCCUUUUGCUUGUCCUCAAGCAAAACAUACAGGCAGUCUCUCUGAAAGAGGUUUUGAAAACAGCAGGGACUCACAUGAUUUAAAACUUAGAAUCAUUACCUCUACAAUAUUGCAAUCCACAUCUAAGAAGUCCUAAUCACAGAAGCACAUUAUACAAUAUCCUAGCUUAGCAAUUAAAUUCACCUAGCCAACAUCUUAGCAAAUCAUGUCUGACAUUCCUCUCUACCAACCUCAUUUCUUAACAUAAAUGAAUGUGUAUGCUUUACCUUGGGAGUAUCGAUCACAAGACACAUGGACUCUUACCCCAACAGGUAUCUGAGUAAACAGGUAGUCUUGUUCUGGUUUCUUUUACUAUAUAUCUCCCUUCUCUGCAUCCUUUUUAUCUCAAUUCCAAUGAACAAAGAUGCUGAUGCAGUCCAUCUUAUUCACCUUCUUUUCGAUUUUUUUAUUAUUAUUAUUAUUUGUUUUUUCCUUUUUCUUUUUCUUUUCUUGACAAAGUGUAGGCGAAUAAUGGGGUCAUCGGUAAUGUACCUACCCCUCGCUUCCAACAAUGUGUGAUCAUUCUAUUAGAGUAGAAUAAUGGGAUCAUCGGUAAUGUACCUACCCCUCUAAACCGCAAGAAAUCAUCUCAAUCUUUUAUUUUAUUUUAUUAGGAUGCCAAAGGGAGGAGAUAAGGAAACCAAAAUCACUCAGACUUUUACCUUUCAGACCUGAAGGAGGAAUCCGAUCCAGUGUAUACCAAGCCCCAAGACAAGCAGUUAAGUCAAAUUAGGUUGGAGGUCAGCUUCGGUUCCUUCAAACAAUCUCAGCAAGUGUGAACAUAGUUGAUAGGUUGAUCCACUUUAGUAUCUUUAGUACUAUCUACAAUCAGUAAGUCUAGAAUGGUGCUAAAGAGUGGUUAGAUAACAAGCAUGAAUCUAAUAAGUUCAUUAUCCCCUUCUUGACUCAAUAAAAACAGUUUUUGAAAAUAUUUUAAAUAAGACUCAUAAAGAUAGAUAAACGUUAGUAAUCCCCCCCAGACUUAAAUUAUACUGUCCCCAGUGUAACACAUUCGGUGGUAAGGUGAAAAUUAUAAAGCAUAAGUACAAAAUUUAACAAGUAAGAACGAUAACCUGCUCAGUAUCGAUCGAUACAAUGAAGUGACAAUCGAUCGUUGUUGAUGAAGCGUUGUCGAUCAAUAUCGUGAUAGUCUCAUCAGUCGAUGAUUUGAGCAAUCGUCUACAUGGAUCUGUUUUUUUUUUUUUUUAUAACUAAAACACAAUAUCAGUAGAACCUCCCCCAGACUUAGAUAACGUUGUGACCAGUGUAUAUCCAGUCGGAGUUAUGGUGUAAAUAAAUCAUAAGUACUCAAUUCAACAAGUUAGAAUGAUAUACCUGACCGAAAUGGAUGUCGAUCGAUGUAAACGUGUUGUCAUCGGUCGUGGAAGAUGUAGCAAUGUCGAUCGAUAUCGACUUGUUCUCGUCGGUCGAUAUCAUGGCAAUCGUUUACUUGGGUCCCUGUUCUAAACAUCUAACUUUGAUGUGAAUAUUGACCAACACAGUUAAGUGGCGAUCGAUACCCUUGAUACUCUGUCGAUCGAUGCUAGCUAGUCAUCGUCGAUUUCUAUGGAAACUCGUCUUCCUCAGAACUUUUCCUUGUACCUAACAUAAAUAACUAAUAAAACUAAUUAACUAAUAAUAACUUUUGUUUUUUUUUUUCCGAUGAACAGUAACUCCCGAUUUUCUGUAACAAUGUCGGUCGAUGUUUCUGCUACAGUGUCGCUCGAUUUCUUGCUACAGUGCGUUUGCUACAGUACCGUCGUUACUGUUCACACACUUUUUUUUUACCUGAAAUCAUUAGAAAACAAGAAAAAUCAGUAAUAAAUGAAAAUUAAACCACAUGUAAAACAAACCUAACAGUGGGUUGCCUCCCACUUAGCGCUUAUUUUUAGUCAUUAGCUUUACUUCUGGAGAUCUGUUUCAGUCUGGAUGAGAAUGAGAACUUGCUCCAAAUCAAGUCUCAAUAUCUACUCUUUGAAACUUUAUCAUUCUUGUGUGAAAGCCUCCUCCAUAUACCCUUCUCCUUUGUCUAUCAUUUCAGCAAUAAAGAGUGCUUUAAGUUUUGCAUAUGGAUGUGAAAAGCAUUUGCUGCGUAUUCUGGGUUUUCUGACAUUAUCUAAGAAGUAAAGAGUCAAUGGUAAUUGAGAACCUCCUUUGGUUCGUUUCCGCUUCUUCCAAUUUCUCCCCUUCUUUCCCACAGACUUGUGUAAUCUCACUCUGGAUUUCCUGGUAUCAUCUGAGAAGUGAGGAAUCAAUGAUAUCUGAGAACCUUCAUUGAUUCUCAUUUUCUUCUUCCAGUUCCUCCACUUCGUUUCCCCAGACUUGUCUGAAUGCGUGGUGGUAUCUCCAUAAAAAAUAUUUUCACACAAUUCAUAUUCAUUCUGCUCUGAUUCGCGUCUGGUGUCGAUCGAUGGUAUCUGAUCGGUAUCGAUCGAUGGUAUCUGAUCGUUAUCGAUCGAUGAUGAAGUGUUAGUGUCGAUCAAUUUUGUUCUGUUGAUGUCGCUCGUUGGUACUUCUGCUGGGCAGUUAUCUACUUCAUCUCUAAAUCGCAGCCCUCUCUGAUAAGCUUCUACAUGAUGUUGAUCAUUCAAUACCUCAAUGUAAGAACUCAGAUACACACCUUUAUCUAGUGGGAUAGGAGAUUCAACUUCAAACACUGCACAUGGAACCAUAAACUUCACAGGAUCAUGUAUCCUCUUCACUCUUUUGCAAAUCCCAACAGCUUCUUCUUCGCAUAGAGGUGUUUUUAGAUUUUUGGGGACAGCAAGGUGUGAGGUUCCAGACGUGUGUUCUUUUCUUCCAACCAGUUCUGGUUUAAUCAUGUAUCCUGAUAGUUCAUCCAAACAUGGGUGUGGAUCGAUGCAAUAGGGUGGGUAUCGAGCGAUACAGUCGUGUGUAUGUUGAUUGAUGUUAGACGGCGACUGUAGAUCGAUGUCGUAGGGUGGGAGUCGAUCGAUCUCAUCAGGUUUAUGUCGGUCGAUGUCGUCAGCCUUUAAGGAAUUUUCCAGACCUUUUCCCGAAGUGGGAUGAUCAUCAAGCUUCUGUCGAAGCCAUUCUUCCAACUCCAGAAAGUCUUUCAGAGUGACUUUGUCGACAUCUGAGGUAAGAUCACAGUUUGAUUCAUCGAUGCUCUCCUGUGUCGAGUUUGCAAUUUCCUGAGGACAACUCGAUCUUUCAGGGAUUUCAAGUGGAAUCGAUCGAUGACAAAAGUCUGUGUCGAUCAUUUCUGAGGUACUGGGGUCGAUCAAUCUUACGGUUGGGAUGUCGAUCGAUGUUGAGGUCGGAGUGUCGAUCGGUUCUAAGCUCAUGUCACUAAUAUCGACUUCUUCUAUUCUGCUCAGCUCUCCAGACACAUGUUGUUCAUCAUCUUUCACCAUAUAUUCUUUCAUAGAUCUCAUCUCAAUCUCUAGACUUGCUGCAGCAUCAUAGAGAAACUUGUUGACGAAAGCGUUUGCAAUGUCAUUCCAAGCAUUGAGAAAUCCUGGUGGUAGCUUCUUCAACCAAUGAGCUGCAUCCCCAGCAAGAGAGUAUGGGAAUAAUUUGCAUAAAUAGUAGUCUUCAGAGACUCCAUUGCAUGUAAUGGUCGAGGCUAGAUCUUUGAAUGAUUUGAGGUGGUUAAUGGGAUCUUCAUGAGGAAGACCAUGAAAGGGAUGCUUACCCACAAGAGAGAUAUAUGCAGGGUUUAGCUCCAGGACAGUAUUCUGAAGUGCUGAACGAUGCAAUGCAGACCUUUUAGCAUAGGCAUCCUCAGGACUGUUAUAGUCUCUAAUUGCCUUCGAUCGUCCAGUCCUAACAUACAUAGUGGUAGCAUCAGGGAUUGUAGAAGGUAUCGAUCGAUGACAAAUAUAUGUAUCAAUCGUUUCUGAAGUGCAGAUAUUGAUCGAUUCUGAGUUACUACUGUCGAUCGAUGCUGAAGUUGGAUCUUUUGUAUCAGCUUCUUCUACUUUGCUCUGCUCUCCUGAUACAUGAUGUUCAUCAUCCUCAACUUUAUCAUGGUUGACCAGCUUUUCUCUGUUCAGUUCGUCCUUCUGUUUACUCUCAUCUGCAUGGUGAACCUGAAUGUCCGGCUUCUUGACAUGAGUUGUCGGUGUUCCAAUAUCUCCAUUCUCUUCGGUGUAGAUGAAGUCAAAAAUCUGUCUCAUACUAAUCAUUAUUCCUUUCUCCCGAUCUUUAAUCAUCUUGUCAAGCCUUUUACUUCGAGUUGCUACAGCCUCGCUGAAAAAUUUACCUAUGACGGCUUCUUUGAUGUCUUCCCAGCAGGUUAGAGAUCUUGGUUGCAGCUUACUGAACAAGCUAAAAGCAUCUCCAGAUAAACAAUAGGGGAAGAUCUUGCAGAUAAUGUGGUCUGCAGAUAUUUCAUCGUGCUUGUUCGCUGAGACUAACUCCUCAAGUCUUUUGAUAAGAUCUUUUGGAUCCUCAUGAGGAAGACCGUAAAAUGGAUCCUCACUUCCCCAAUCAUACCAUUGACUUGUCAGAUUAAAGGUAUUCGUCUCAGCCACAGCAAUUACAUCAGGGAUUAUACUACCCUCUGCAUUAAUUAAUUGUCCUGUGAGGCUGCAAGGGCGACCUUCUUCGUCUCGCCAAAUACCUUUCUUGUCGAUCUUAAGUAUGAGCGCUUCAACCUUCUCUGUCUCUCCGUAAGUGGUGUUCGUCAUUGGAGGAACAGUGCCGCGAUGAAUAGUAUUUCGAUGAACAGUGUUCGGAUGAACAGUGUUCAGAUGAACAGUAUCGCGAUGAACAAUGUUCGGAUGAACAGUGUCGCGAUGAACAGUGUUCGGGUGAACAGUAUCGCGAUGAACAGUGUUCGGGUGAACAGUGUCGAGCGACAGAAUAUGAACAGUGUCGAUCGACGGAAGAUGAAUAGUGUCGACCGACAGGGGAUGAACAGUGUCGAUCGAUGGAAGAUGAAUAGUUUCGACCGACACGAGAUGAACAGUGUCGAUCAAUGGAAGAUGAAUAGUUUCGACCGACACGAGAUGAACAGUGUCGAUCGACGGGACAUGAAUAGUGUCGACCGACAUGAGAUGAACAGUGUCGAUCGACGGAAUAUGAAUAGUGUCGACCGACACGGGAUGAACAGUGUCGAUCGACGGGAUAUGAAUAGUGUCGCGAUGAAUAGUAUCACGAUGAACAGUACUAGGAUGAAUAGUAUUAUGAUGAACAGUACCUGGAUGAACAGUACUGCUUUGAAUAGUGUUUUCCGACACAUGAUGAAUAGUGUCGUUCGAUGCUUGGCUCACGCUAUCGAUCGAUGCUGCUUGGAGGGUGUCGAUCGAUACAUCCCUCGUAGACUUUAUCGUGCAUAAACCAGCAGGCUCCUUCCUUGAAGAACCUAGAAAUCCUCUCUUCAUUAUUUUCUGGUACUAAGAGUUAUGUACCUGAAAUAGAAGAAAAAAAUUUAUGAGUUUUUUCGAACAGUAACAAAACCUAGACUAAAUCUAACUAAACAAGAUCUAAUGGCGAUCAAAGCUCCCCGGCAACGGCGCCAAAUUUGAUAUCACUCAAAUUACCCUAAAGAGUGUUACUCUCAUUAAAAGAGGUCGAGUUAUAGUACUUAGGGAUCGAAUCCACAAGGAGCUAGGGAACCGAUUAGAUCAAAUAGUUAUAAGAUUAAGCUAGGCCAAUAGGUUUUAAAGCAGUAAAUAAAGCAAGUAAUAAAUAAAGCAAUAAACAAGAUGAACAAGGUGAUUGUUCAGCUUGGCAAGGAGUAGUUUGAUGGAGGGAUGGUUGCUAGAUCUAGGGUUUCUAUUCAGGUGUUCAAGAUUAUAAUAUCUAUAGAUGCCUAAUUGUUGCAUGCAUGAUAUGUUAGAGCUCAACCGCUUAACUCAGUGAUCAGCUGUCGCAUGUACCACUGGUUAACAAGUUAGAUCUCCUGUCCCAACGGUUAGUAUGCCGACAACGAGAGAGUGUCGAUCGAUGGUCUAUUAAGACGUCGACCGAUACACCUUUGCCAACGUCGAUCGAUAGUCAGUUGAGGACAUCGAUCGACGGGUUCUAGCCAGGCCUAUGCGCGAGAUGAUUUGCCCUAUUAGAAUGCUAAAUUGGCGGUUAGCCCUCUCUAACAAUCCUAAUAUGAUAGAUAGAUGUCAGGAUGGGAUAACAAGGGUGCUUGAGUAUGCAAUCCUAUGAUCAAGUUCUAGUUAAUUACUCUAAAACAAGCAAUGAAUAUAGAUCUAUCAUGAAUAUCACAACAAGGCAGAUCUAUAGUUUGGGGCUAAUCCCACAAACCUAUCUGAACCCUGGAUCUAACAUGUGGAUCUACUCAGACAUGAAAACAGAAAUCAUAGAUGAAUAGAUAUAAACUGAAAUGAAAAAGAUCAAUAAAACCAAUGGAGUUCCAGGAGGACUCUGAUAGGAGUUCCUCCCUUCUCUCCUCUCAGAGAAACAAUGGAAAUGAAAGUGUAAAAAGCGUAGAAAGCGUAGCCGUCAACAAUGGCUUAGAAAUGACAUAAAUAGGCUUUCUGGUCGUCUAAGGGUAUUUUGGUAAUUUGUGGCUUCUAAGGCUUCACGCAGUCAUAAAAUAUACAAGGCCCACGAUCUGGGAUCUCCAUCGAUUGACGUGCAGAGUGCUGCAUCGAUCGACGCGGCUUCCUCUUCUCGGCAGCUUCCUCUCGCGAGGCAAACUGACCACUCUUCAGUAAAACGGGCAUACCUUCUGCUACAGGAUGCUGAUUGACCUGAGACCGGUGGCAUUGGAAAGCUAACUCCAAAACCUUCAUCCAUAGCUAAACAUUUGACACGUCUGUGCAACUCUGCACCUCCAAAGGCUCCAAAAGACUUCAAAAUCACCAUAUUUCUCCUAAACGUCCUUGAACCAGUAAAUACUCUAAAUAGACUCCAAAACAUAAUAAUUGUAUCUUAAAACACUUCAAAACACUUAUAGACCAUGAUUAAAAAUGGGUAAAAUAUAUGUUCUAUCAACUCCCCCAGACUUACCCUUUUGCUUGUCCUCAAGCAAAACAGACGGGCAGGCUCUCUGAAAGAGGUUUUGAAAACAGCAGGGACUCACAUGAUUUAAAACUUAGAAUCAUCACCUCUACAAUAUUGCAAUCCACAUCUAAGAAGUCCUAAUCACAGAAGCACAUUAUACAAUAUCCUAGCUUAGCAACCAAAUUCACCUACCCAACAUCUUAGCAAAUCAUGUCUGACAUUCCCCUCUACCAACCUCAUUUCUUAACAUAAAUAAAUGUGUAUGCUUUACCUUGGGAGUAUCGAUCACAAAACACAUGGACUCUUACCCCAACAGGUAUCUGAGUAAACAGGUAGUCUUGUUCUGGUUUCUUUUACUCUAUAUCUCCCUUCUCUGCAUCCUUUUUAUCUCAAUUCCAAUGAACAAAGAUGCUGAUGCAGUCCAUCUUAUUCACCUUCUUUUCGAUUUUUUAUUAUUAUUAUUAUUUUUUUUUUCCUUUUUCUUUUUCUUUUCUUGACAAAGUGUAGGCGAAUAGUGGGGUCAUCGGUAAUGUACCUACCCCUCGCUUCCAACAAUGUGUGAUCAUUCUAUUAGAGUAGAAUAAUGGGAUCAUCGGUAAUGUACCUACCCCUCUAAACCGCAAGAAAUCAUCUCAAUCUUUUAUUUUAUUUUAUUAGGAUGCCAAAGGGAGGAGAUAAGGAAACCAAAAUCACUCAGACUUUACCUUUCAGACCUGAAGGAGGAAUCCGAUCCAGUGUAUACCAAGCCCCAAGACAAGCAGUUAAGUCAAAUUAGGUUGGAGGUCAGCUUCGGUUCCUUCAAACAAUCUCAGCAAGUGUGAACAUAGUUGACAGGUUGAUCCACUUUAGUAUCUUUAGUACUAUCUGCAAUCAGUAAGUCUAGAAUGGUGCUAAAGAGUGGUUAGAUAACA